RNAcentral lists this long non-coding RNA (461 nucleotides) under Gossypium barbadense (sea-island cotton). Its description in RNAcentral is "long non-coding RNA (GBAR_LNC023093)". Lineage: Eukaryota; Viridiplantae; Streptophyta; Magnoliopsida; Malvales; Malvaceae. The record is from RNAcentral.
GAGUUUGAAAUUGGCUAUAAAGGCCGAAACUGGUCAUUGUUUCGCUUCUUCUUCGAUUUUUCUUGUAAAAACCCACAUCAGAAAUCUAAAAAAGCUGAAUAGAAAUUUUAAAAGGUUGAAUCCUUGCUAUUUCUUCUUGGUUUUCUCUUAUUUAUUUGAUCUUAUUUUGUUUUAUUUUUUUUCGUUGCAAAUCUAUUCUAAAGUAAUUAAAAAAAUCAAAAAAAGAGAAAAGAAAAGAAUACCUGAAUCGGCCCUUGGACUGGCCGGCGAUGGUCCUUUGCCGUCAUCGGAUUCGAGCUCGAGAGGGGCCAAAGGUCUUGUUUUCUCCUCGACUCCCCUUCCAAAAGUUCAGGCCCUCUGAAUAUGCUUCAACUGCGCAGAUCGGGAACUCCGUCGCGUGACGCCGACCACCGGCCAUGGCGGCGAUUUGGAGCGGUCGAGAAAAGGGAUUGAGGGGUUUG